UUAUCGGAGAGUUUGAUCCUGGCUCAGGACGAACGCUGGCGGCGUGCCUAAUACAUGCAAGUCGAGCGGACAGAUGGGAGCUUGCUCCCUGAUGUUAGCGGCGGACGGGUGAGUAACACGUGGGUAACCUGCCUGUAAGACU
Molecule: ribosomal RNA, 142 nt
Filed under: Bacillus inaquosorum
Lineage: Bacteria; Bacillati; Bacillota; Bacilli; Caryophanales; Bacillaceae
Description: partial 16S ribosomal RNA
Rfam family: Bacterial small subunit ribosomal RNA
Source: RNAcentral